Molecule: long non-coding RNA, 1766 nt
Organism: Mustela lutreola (European mink)
Lineage: Eukaryota; Metazoa; Chordata; Mammalia; Carnivora; Mustelidae
Exons: 2
Source: RefSeq, a predicted model, not a curated record
GGAUUUUGAGUUGUGGAAUUUUCCACUCAUUUAUCCUUUCAUUUUCCAAUUUCUUUGCCUUCAAGUGUCCACUGGCUCCUCUCAGUCACAGCUGUACAAAUCACAGGACUCUCACCGGCAUGAGACAUAUAUAUUAUUCAUCUAUCUAGUUUCAUCUAAAGGAAAUCCAAUAAAGACAAAAUUUUACUUUCCAGUGAAAUAUCCAAAGCUGCUUUUUCCCCACAAGAAACUGGGCCGAAAACUCCAUCCAUGAUCUAUAAUACCACUUUCUUGGCAACAUGUCUCAUUCCCCACUAUAUCUCCAUGCACAGCACUUAGUAAAAUCUCCGUAAAUAACUGUGGAAUGAAUGAAUGAAUCUACGUGGAAAUCUAUGGAUCCUUAAGUAUGAAGCAUGCUGUUCUAGUAAGAUGGAACACUCUGACUUGGAAACAUAAUUCCAUGCAGUUGAGUUGCCCUAACCUGGAUGUUUCACUGAGGUAAGCCAAUUAACCUCUCUGGCCCCCAUUGUCCUUCUCACUAGAACAGAGCCAACAUUUGCCACUCUGUUGCUGAAGACGGAAGCAGCAAAGAAUAAGCAAGAUGAGAUCUGAUGAGUGCCUGAAGUUUUAUAAGAGGAAGACACUCUACUUAACUGUUCAACCCACUGUAAAGAUGACGGACAUAGGCCAAACGGCUUAAUGAGAAUCUCCAAAGUCUCAUCAAAUCACUGGGCUACAAAUCCCCAAAUAGUUCUGAAACAAUAGUCUAUCUAAAUUUCCAUUAAGCUACGGUGUUAAUGUAAACCCCAGGAUGACAGCACCAUGUGGCAGUUCCUGAAAUGUUGAAAAACAAGGCCACUCCCCAGAUGGAUUAAUGAUCACAAAAAGAAAUCAGAUGCCCUUGGCCAGAGUUGGUCAACAUUUCAGAUCCUGGCUCCUGGCUUCUGUCUCUCAUGGAGACGACCAAUCAAUGCCCCUCUGAGACAUGGGAGCCCACUGCUGAAGCAUUCCCCUAGAAGGUUACUUCCAGAUCUUUUUGUGUUAUAGCCAACCAAAUUGAAGAAAAUAACUAGUCAUAAGCCUUUCUUUAGGUCCCAGAAAUGGAGGCCAGGUUUCUAAGCCUAGGAUAAUGGCUCAAUUCAGGACAACCCUGACUUAAGCAAAGUCACUGUGAACCACCCUUUACUCCAUAGUAUCUUCACUGCCCUUAUCAAUAGGAGAAAUUACCUUAUUCUUUUAUUCAUUAUUUUUCUUGUUGCUCACACUCUAGAACUCUGUUGUCCAGUACCAUAGCCACUAGCCAUAUGUGACUUUGUAAAUUUAAAACUUUUUAAUCAUAUAAGAUUGUAAAAUUCAGUUCCUCACUUACACUAGCCACAUUUUACUGGCCUAAAAACCACACAUGGCUAGUUGCUAACAUAUUAGACAGCAAAGAUCUAGAACAUUAUUGCAUUAUUGCAUUAUUGAAAAUCCUAAUGGACAGCCCAGUUCUAGAAGAAAAGUUAAACCCUAGGCCAUGUUUCAAUCAUGAAUUGAGAGGUUCAGUAGAUUAUAACCAGUGUAAGUGUCAGUGAAAUGGAAAAUAGCAAAACAUAUCAUAUUAAACAAAGAGUAAGAAUUCCUUAGGAAAAUUUGUUUAUAUGUAUGUAUGUCCCAGGUUGUAUUAUAAAUUAUAUUUAUUAUUUAUCACGGUUUAAAAAAAUUAAAAAGCUUAUGCAGAGUACCUAUAAUAUAGUAUGGGCUCAAAAUGCUUGUUGAAUCUAUCAAUAAAUGAAAUGUUUUAAAGA